Molecule: ribosomal RNA, 253 nt
Filed under: uncultured bacterium
Lineage: Bacteria
Description: partial 16S ribosomal RNA
Rfam family: Bacterial small subunit ribosomal RNA
Source: RNAcentral
GACAGAGGAGCCAAGAGUUGUCCGGACUGACUGGGCGUAAAGCGCCCGCAGGCGGCCGUGCACGUGGGGUGUGAAAGCUCGCGGCUUAACUGCGAGAGGCCAUCCCAUACGGCGCGGCUCGAGCCGUCCAGAGGCCGGUGGAAUUUCCGGUGUAGCGGUGAAAUGCGUAGAUAUCGGAAGGAACACCAGUGGCGAAAGCGGCUUCCUGGUCCAGCACCGACGUUCAGGCACGAAAGCGUGGGGAGCAAACAGG